RNAcentral lists this long non-coding RNA (1075 nucleotides) under Monodelphis domestica (gray short-tailed opossum). Its description in RNAcentral is "lncRNA (ENSMODG00000028283.2)". Lineage: Eukaryota; Metazoa; Chordata; Mammalia; Didelphimorphia; Didelphidae. The record is from RNAcentral.
GCAAUGAACAAAGAGCAAAUGGAACUGAGAAGGAUGAAGGAACAGCAGCAAAAUAACAGAAACUCCAGUGAUUUGGAUACAGGCUUUGGAAGAACUCAAAAUACAAUUCAAAACACAAUUAAGAGAAGCUGAAGACAACUGGGGAAAGAACUUAAAAGCAAGAUAAGUCAUCUGGAAACAGAAAACAGUGUCUUGAAAACCAAAAUUAAUCAGCUUGAAAAUGAGGCAAAGGAGAUGAAAGAUCAGAAGUAGAAGGAUGACCAAAAAGCCAGGGAUGCAAUCGAGUCUUUAAUAUCCAGAAUACAACAACUAGAAGCAAGUGACUUCACAAGGCAGCAGGACACUAUAAAACAAAACCAAAAGAAUGAAAAAAUUGAGGAAAAUAUGAAGCAUCUCAUUCAUAAAACAGAAGAUUUAGAAAAUCAUUCCAGGAGAGACAACUUAAGAAUCAUUGAUCUACCAGAAGACCAUGACAAAAGAAAAAACCUGGACAUCAUACUACAGAAAAUUAUCCAAGAAAAACUGCCCUGAUAUUCUAGAACAAGAGGGAAAAGUGGAGAUUGAAAGAACCCACAGAUCACCUUCUAUACUUAAUACCCAACUGAUAACACCCAGAAAUGUUAUAGCCAAAUUCAAGAACUAUCAGACUAAGGGAAAAAUAUUACAAGCUGCUAAGAAGCCAUUCAGAUACCAUGGAACCACAGUGGGGUUAACACAGCAUCUGGCUGCAUCUACUCUGAAGGACCAAAAGGCAUGGAAUAUGAUAUCCUGGAAAGCAAGGGAACUAGGUCUACAACCAAGAAUCAACUAUCUAGCAAAACUGACUAUAUUCUUACAGGGGAAAGUAUGGUCAUUUAACAAAAUAGAAGAAUUCCAAGCAUUUGUAAAGAAAAGACCAGACCUGAACAGAAAAUCUGAUGCACAAACACAGAACUCAAAAGAAUCAUCAAAAGAAAAAACCAUGACAAAAUUCAUUUGGAAGAACAAAAGAUCAAGGAUAUCCAGGGAAAUAAUGGAGAAAAAAAUGAAGGUGGCCUUGCAGUCCCAGAUCUCAAACUAUACUAUAAGGCAAUGA